UGUUGGUCUGAACCGGUACCGGAACCAUGCAGUUCCCUUAAACAGGGGACUUUACAUCUAAGAGGUUUUUAAGGUUAAAAUGUUGAAGGGUAAAUGCAAGAGAAAUACCUGCAAUGGGUCUCGGAAAAAGAACCAGAAUAAGGAAAUACUUGCUCCUGUUGAUGACAAAAACAUAAAGAAAAUGGCAGAGAUGGCCACAUGCGUGCGCUCUGGAGACUGUGAGGCAGGACUGUGCUGCGUCCGCUAUUUAACAGUGAAACAACGCAUCCCAAAGGAGGGAGAGGCCUGCGUACUGCGAGGAGGACGCUCUAAACUGCAUAGAAAUCUUGAGUACUGUGACUGUGCACACGGGCUAAUCUGUUGUGCCCAGGCUGAACACCCCAAGAACCAAGGAGUUUGAGGGGUUUCCCUUUUGAGGACACAAGCUCAAGUAAACAGUACAAAUAUGAUAAAGAUGAUAUGACAUAUUUUCUAUUUAACAAAAAGGCUUGAAAGGAUUUAUAUGCUUUCUACAUAUAGUAUAAUCAAAUUAUAAAACCACAAACUAUAAGAUUUCACCUUCUUUAUAACUGUAAAUUACAUAUUUGUAUGUUUAGUGUUAAAGAAAAUGUGCAUAUUUUCUAAAGGUCUCGCUUGAUCAAAAUAUCUUCCCCCACCACUUUAAACAUCACAAAAAGCUGUGGCUUGGUUUCCUGAACUCGAUAGGAACUCACCUUUCAUCUCGUAUUCAUAAUGAAGUUUUUUUUGUAAAAUUCUGAAAUCCACAGCACUCUCCCCUCUAAAAGUAACAUGUGAAUCUAAG
Long non-coding RNA from Oncorhynchus tshawytscha (Chinook salmon), 802 nucleotides. NCBI's taxonomy places the organism in Eukaryota, Metazoa, Chordata, Actinopteri, Salmoniformes, Salmonidae. The record is from Ensembl.